Molecule: transfer RNA, 67 nt
Filed under: Camponotus atrox
Lineage: Eukaryota; Metazoa; Arthropoda; Insecta; Hymenoptera; Formicidae
Description: tRNA-Gly
Source: RNAcentral
AUUUAUAUAGUAUAAAAAUUACAUUUAAUUUCCAAUUAAAAAAUUUAACCUCUUAUUAAUAUAAAUA